Molecule: unclassified non-coding RNA, 769 nt
Filed under: Orussus abietinus
Lineage: Eukaryota; Metazoa; Arthropoda; Insecta; Hymenoptera; Orussidae
Description: uPF0235 protein C15orf40 homolog, transcript variant X1
Source: RNAcentral
UGAAAUAUUCUUAUUCAUUUCAAAUUUCCCGCGAAAUCGCGAGCGCACUUUAUUGGCAUGACUGUUGCACACGCGCAACAAUUAAUGUACAUUCCAAUUCGUAGAGGUUAAUGUGUCUUCCAAUAUUGAAGUUUUUUCAAAGAAAUAUCGCAAACACCAUACUUAUACUAAUUUAUCUUGAAUCCAUGACAAGCAUCGUUGUAAAAAAGUGGGUUCACAGAUUAACAGCGCAGCGAAUAACAACUAUUCGUGAUAUGUCGAAGCAACGAGUGAAAAAGGUUGGGAAGGGUCAACAAGCGGAAAAGGUUGAGGUGAGAACACUUCAAGUUCUGCCAGGAGCUGUAAGCGUUGGAAAGAAUGGGACAGUAAAUAUAAAAAUUCAAGCAAAACCUGGAGCUAAACACAAUAAUAUAACAGAAAUCACUGAUGAUGUUGUGGGUGUUGCAAUAUCGGCACCUCCUGUUGAAGGUGAAGCAAAUACUGAACUGGUGAAAUAUUUAGCAUCAAUUUUGGGCGUCAGGAAGUCCGAUGUGUCAUUGGAUAGGGGAGCAAAAAGUCGCCAUAAGACUGUCAUAGUAGCUGGGAUUACCAUGGAAAGUGUCCUUGAUAAGUUGAAAACAGAAAUGAUAAGUUAGUACAUGUGGAUAUCGUAAAAAUAGAUAACCGUGCAACAACGUAUAUUAUAGACUGGGACGUAUCCACCUCUAUCUAGGCUUACACGACAGAAGACAGGACCUCCAGAGACGCAAGAUACACCUACGCGUUGCUC